Molecule: ribosomal RNA, 253 nt
Filed under: uncultured bacterium
Lineage: Bacteria
Description: partial 16S ribosomal RNA
Rfam family: Bacterial small subunit ribosomal RNA
Source: RNAcentral
UACGAAGGGGGCUAGCGUUGUUCGGAAUCACUGGGCGUAAAGCGCACGUAGGCGGAUUUUUAAGUCAGGGGUGAAAUCCCGAGGCUCAACCUCGGAACUGCCUUUGAUACUGGAAAUCUCGAGUCCGGAAGAGGUAAGUGGAACUGCGAGUGUAGAGGUGAAAUUCGUAGAUAUUCGCAAGAACACCAGUGGCGAAGGCGGCUCACUGGCCCGGUACUGACGCUGAGGUGCGAAAGCGUGGGGAGCAAACAGG